RNAcentral lists this ribosomal RNA (260 nucleotides) under uncultured bacterium. RNAcentral describes it as "partial 16S ribosomal RNA". It matches the Rfam family "Bacterial small subunit ribosomal RNA", at positions 793 to 1055 of the family's 1533-position model. The record is from RNAcentral.
GUCCACGCCCUAACGAUGUCUACUAGUUGUCGGUCUUAAUUGACUUGGUAACGCAGCUAACGCGUGAAGUAGACCGCCUGGGGAGUACGGUCGCAAGAUUAAACUCAAAGGAAUUGACGGGACCCGCACAAGCGGUGGAUGAUGUGGAUUAAUUCGAUGCAACGCGAAACCUUACCCACCUUUGACAUGUACGGAAGUCGCUAGAGAUAGCUUCGUGCUCGAAAGAGAACCCGUAACACAGGGUGCUGCAUGGCUGUCGU